CAUAAAAUGCAAAAAUCACUUUCAUCAGGUGUUUGAACACAGUUGUGUGGCCGCAGUUUUGUGAAUACAACCAGCCUAUAAUUGUAA
Long non-coding RNA from Sinocyclocheilus grahami, 87 nucleotides. RefSeq lists it as uncharacterized. Lineage: Eukaryota; Metazoa; Chordata; Actinopteri; Cypriniformes; Cyprinidae. The record is from RefSeq and is a predicted model, not a curated record. The transcript has 4 exons.